RNAcentral lists this long non-coding RNA (322 nucleotides) under Equus caballus (horse). RNAcentral's name for it is "lncRNA (ENSECAG00000054840.1)". The record is from RNAcentral. Lineage: Eukaryota; Metazoa; Chordata; Mammalia; Perissodactyla; Equidae.
GGUAGCCCCUCUGGUUGCCCUCAACCAAUAUUCUUUGUACACUUGUUAAUGUUGAUUUGGAAGUGGGCUGUUUGCUCAGUGGGGGAAGGAUGCAGAAGAAAGACACAGUGCCAGCGCUCAGCCUCUUCUCUACUGUUUCAAGCAAUUCAGCUGGAACCACAAACUUGUACGCCCCGCUUUGCCAGAAGGAAAGCUCGGCAGCUGAUCUGACCCACUCUCCUUAGCCAGAAGGAUCUUUUCAUUAUGCUUAAAACCCCUCUUUAAAACCGUCAUGACUCCCACUUCUGGAACAGUGAUGUGAGGCUCAGUAUGGACCCACUCU